GCCCGGGUGGCGGAAUUGGUAGACGCUGCGGACUUAAAAUCCGCUGUUCGAAAGAACGUGCCGGUUCGAGUCCGGCCCUGGGCACCA
RNAcentral lists this transfer RNA (87 nucleotides) under Gammaproteobacteria bacterium. RNAcentral's name for it is "tRNA-Leu". It matches the Rfam family "tRNA". From Rfam's summary of the family: Transfer RNA (tRNA) molecules are approximately 80 nucleotides in length. Their secondary structure includes four short double-helical elements and three loops (D, anti-codon, and T loops). The record is from RNAcentral. RNAcentral also lists the same sequence under 1 other name. Lineage: Bacteria; Pseudomonadati; Pseudomonadota; Gammaproteobacteria.